AAGUCGAGCGGAUUGAUGGGAGCUUGCUCCCUGAUAUCAGCGGCGGACGGGUGAGUAACACGUGGGUAACCUGCCUGUAAGACUGGGAUAACUCCGGGAAACCGGGGCUAAUACCGGAUAACUCAUUUCCUCGCAUGAGGAAAUGUUGAAAGGUGGCUUCUUGCUAUCACUUACAGAUGGACCCGCGGCGCAUUAGCUAGUUGGUGAGGUAACGGCUCACCAAGGCGACAAUGCGUAGCCGACCUGAGAGGGUGAUCGGCCACACUGGGACUGAAACACGGCCCAAACUCCUACGGGAGGCAGCAGUAGGGAAUCUUCCGCAAUGGACGAAAGUCUGACGGAGCAACGCCGCGUGAGUGAUGAAGGUUUUCGGAUCGUAAAGCUCUGUUGUUAGGGAAAAACAAGUGCCGUUCGAAUAGGGCGGCACCUUGACGGUACCUAACCAAAAAGCCACGGCUAACUACGUGCCAGCAGCCGCGGUAAUACGUAGGUGGCAAGCGUUGUCCGGAAUUAUUGGGCGUAAAGCGCGCGCAGGUGGUUUCUUAAGUCUGAUGUGAAAGCCCACGGCUCAACCGUGGAGGGUCAUUGGAAACUGGGGAACUUGAGUGCAGAAGAGGAAAGUGGAAUUCCAAGUGUAGCGGUGAAAUGCGUAGAUAUUUGGAGGAACACCAGUGGCGAAGGCGACUUUCUGGUCUGUAACUGACACUGAGGCGCGAAAGCGUGGGGAGCAAACAGGAUUAGAUACCCUGGUAGUCCACGCCGUAAACGAUGAGUGCUAAGUGUUAGGGGGUUUCCGCCCCUUAGUGCUGCAGCUAACGCAUUAAGGCACUCCGCCUGGGGAGUACGGUCGCAAGACUGAAACUCAAAGGAAUUGACGGGGGCCCGCACAGGCGGUGCAGCAUGUGUUUAUUCGAAGCACGCGAGACCUUACCAGGUCUUGACAUCCUCUGACACCCUAGAGAUAGGGCUUCCCUUCGGGGACGAGUGACAGUGUGCAUGAUGUCGUCAGCUCGUGUCUGAAAUGAGGUAGUCCGCACGAGCGCAUCUGGAUCUAGUUGCAGCAUCAGUGGCACUCUAGAUGACUGCGUGACAUCGGAGAGUGA
Molecule: ribosomal RNA, 1103 nt
Filed under: Rossellomorea aquimaris
Lineage: Bacteria; Bacillati; Bacillota; Bacilli; Caryophanales; Bacillaceae
Description: bacterial SSU rRNA
Rfam family: Bacterial small subunit ribosomal RNA
Source: RNAcentral